UACGGAGGGGGCUAGCGUUGUUCGGAAUUACUGGGCGUAAAGCGCACGUAGGCGGCUUUGUAAGUCAGAGGUGAAAUCCCGGGGCUCAACCCCGGAACUGCCUUUGAGACUGCAUCGCUUGAAUCCAGGAGAGGUGAGUGGAAUUGCGAGUGUAGAGGUGAAAUUCGUAGAUAUUCGCAGGAACACCAGUGGCGAAGGCGGCUCACUGGUCCAUAACUGACGCUGAGGUGCGAAAGCGUGGGGAGCAAACAGG
Molecule: ribosomal RNA, 253 nt
Filed under: uncultured bacterium
Lineage: Bacteria
Description: partial 16S ribosomal RNA
Rfam family: Bacterial small subunit ribosomal RNA
Source: RNAcentral